This 465-nucleotide ribosomal RNA is filed under the name uncultured bacterium. RNAcentral's name for it is "partial 16S ribosomal RNA". It matches the Rfam family "Bacterial small subunit ribosomal RNA", at positions 338 to 795 of the family's 1533-position model. The record is from RNAcentral.
CCUACGGGUGGCAGCAGUGGGGAAUAUUGCGCAAUGGGCGAAAGCCUGACGCAGCGACGCCGCGUGAGGGAUGAAGGUCUUCGGAUCGUAAACCUCUGUCAGCAGGGAAGAACGGUCACUGUGCUAAUCAGCAGUGAAUUGACGGUACCUGCAAAGGAAGCACCGGCUAACUCCGUGCCAGCAGCCGCGGUAAUACGGAGGGUGCGAGCGUUAAUCGGAAUUACUGGGCGUAAAGCGCUCGUAGGCGGUAUGUCAAGUCAAGGGUGAAAUCCCCGCGCUCAACGGGGGAACUGCCUUUGAAACUGGCAAACUGGAGUGUGUGAGAGGAUAGUGGAAUUCCAGGUGUAGGAGUGAAAUGCGUAGAUAUCUGGAGGAACAUCAGUGGCGAAGGCGACUAUCUGGCACAUAACUGACGCUGAGGAGCGAAAGCGUGGGUAGCAAACAGGAUUAGAUACCCGGGUAGUC